AGAUUGAACGCUGGCGGCGUGCCUAACACAUGCAAGUCGAGCGGUAACGCGGGAGCAAUCCUGGCGACGAGCGGCGAACGGGUGAGUAAUACUUCGGAAUCUACCCACGGGUGGGGAAUAACCAGCCGAAAGGUUUGGCUAAUACCGCUAUACGCCCUACGGGGGAAAGCGGGGGAUCGAAAGACCUCGCGCCGGUGGAUGAGCCGAAGUCGGAUUAGCUAGUUGGUAGGGUAACGGCCUA
Molecule: ribosomal RNA, 241 nt
Filed under: uncultured prokaryote
Description: partial 16S ribosomal RNA
Rfam family: Bacterial small subunit ribosomal RNA
Source: RNAcentral